RNAcentral lists this ribosomal RNA (586 nucleotides) under uncultured bacterium. RNAcentral describes it as "partial 16S ribosomal RNA". It matches the Rfam family "Bacterial small subunit ribosomal RNA", at positions 355 to 1375 of the family's 1533-position model. The record is from RNAcentral.
UGGGGAAUUUUGGACAAUGGGCGAAAGCCUGAUCCAGCAAUGCCGCGUGUGUGAAGAAGGCCUUCGGGUUGUAAAGCACUUUUGUCCGGAAAGAAAUCCUUGGCUCUAAUACAGUCGGGGGAUGACGGUACCGGAAGAAUAAGCACCGGCUAACUACGUGCCAGCAGCCGCGGUAAUACGUAGGGUGCAAGCGUUAAUCGGAAUUACUGGGCGUAAAGCGUGCGCAGGCGGUUUGCUAAGACCGAUGUGAAAUCCCCGGGCUCAACCUGGGAACUGCAUUGGUGACUGGCAGGCUAGAGUAUGGCAGAGGGGGGUAGAAUUCCACGUGCAGCAGUGAAAUGCGUAGAGAUGUGGAGGAAUACCGAUGGCGAAGGCAGCCCCCUGGGCCAAUACUGACGCUCAUGCACGAAAGCGUGGGGAGCAAACAGGAUUAGAUACCCUGGUAGUCCACGCCCUAAAACGAUGUCAACUAGUUGUUGGGGAUUCAUUUCCUUAGUAACGUAGCUAACGCGUGAAGUUGACCGCCUGGGGAGUACGGUCGCAAGAUUAAAACUCAAAGGAAUUGACGGGGUCAUAGCUGUUUCCU